GGAGGCUGUUGAAGGGAUCCGAUUUCUUGGCACACGCGCACUGGAGAAAAGCCUGCUACAGGGUCCUGAAAAGGCCUGAGUUUUGUGUGCACACAUCCAGCAGUGUGGAAUGGCAAAGUCUAGCUCUCGUCUGGCUCCCUCCACCAUUCCAUGCAUCAGUUUCCUUUCAACACUGACCUCCAAGCUUGUCUCACUGUAUUUUCUCAGAGAAUGAUUUCUUGGGACUUCAUGAGGAGCAAGGCCUAGAGAGACCAGCAGUGAAGAGCACUAGCUGCUCUCCCAGAGAUCCUGAGUUCAAUUCCCAGCAACCACAUGGAGGCUCACAACCUACACAAUUGUAGUCCCAUGAAUUCCUAUGUCUUCUUCUGGUGUGCAGUGUACAUGCAGACAAGACAUCUGCAUAAAUAAAUGAAUCUUUAAAAACCAAGAAGCAGGAGGAGGAGGAGGAAGAGGAAGAGGAAGAGGAAGAGGAAGAGGAGAAGGAAGAGAAACAGCUCUUUGCAUGUUUGCCUCAGAACUCAGCACUGUAGCAAAUUAAAGCUGUUUGGGGGUUUGUUUGUUUGUUUGUUUGUUUG
RNAcentral lists this long non-coding RNA (575 nucleotides) under Mus caroli (Ryukyu mouse). RNAcentral describes it as "lncRNA (MGP_CAROLIEiJ_G0005032.1)". Lineage: Eukaryota; Metazoa; Chordata; Mammalia; Rodentia; Muridae. The record is from RNAcentral.